This 81-nucleotide ribosomal RNA is filed under the name Kalopanax septemlobus. RNAcentral describes it as "partial 18S ribosomal RNA". Lineage: Eukaryota; Viridiplantae; Streptophyta; Magnoliopsida; Apiales; Araliaceae. The record is from RNAcentral.
AUUAAAAUAUAAAAAAACCCUUUUUUUAAAAAAAAAAAAAAAUGACAAGGUUUCCGUAGGUGAACCUGCGGAAGGAUCAUU